CUGGAGUCCAUGUGUCGUAGGAGUUCGUCCGAAAUCUGUCCGCUACAGAAGUUCAAUCGGAGUCCGAUCUCCGUAGAAGCCCGGAUGGGGAUCAUUUGUCGAAGAAGCUCAGCCGAAGCCUGCAGUAGAAGCUCGGAGUAGAUCGCUUGCAGUAGAAGCUCGGAGUAGAUCGCUUGCAGUAGAAGCUCGGAGUAGAUCGCUUGCAGUAGAAGCUCGAAGUCCGACCCUUGUAGGAGUUCGAAUGAGGUCUACCUGCAACAGAAAUUCAGGGCGGAAGUUCGGCUCCCAUAGGAGCUCGGAUGAAGUCC
This 308-nucleotide long non-coding RNA is filed under the name Elaeis guineensis (African oil palm). RNAcentral describes it as "long non-coding RNA (EGUI_LNC080578)". The record is from RNAcentral. Lineage: Eukaryota; Viridiplantae; Streptophyta; Magnoliopsida; Arecales; Arecaceae.